GGCUAGCGGUGGUGAUUCUUUGCUGGCCAUAUAAGGAGAAAACCAUGGUGAUGGUGAUGGUGUGAUCAGCGGCUGCAAGAGGGAGAGGAAAACAUGAUGAUGUUGGUGAUUUGUGGUGCUGCAACGUGAAGAGAUCAAGGUUGUAUGGGUGCUGUCAUCAUGAAGAAGAAGAAUGAGGCUGGUUCUCGCAUUGAUGGAGACACAAGGUGGUGGCGGUUGCUCACGUGAAGAAGGAGAAGCUCGUGGUUGCUUGCUCCAUUGAGAGAGGAGGUACGGUGGUGAUGAGAGGAAGGAUAAGUUGAAGAUGGUGAUGGGGUUCGGUUGUUGUAACAAGAAAGGAAAUGAAGGAGAGUUUAAGGGAAAAUUGGAGAAGUGUGGGUCGGUAGCUUAGGAGAAAUAAGGAGGAGAAGAAAAGAAAUGGGUCUAAAGCAGCAAAACAAAGAAAAUGAAACUGAAAUUAGAAGAGAGGGACAGUGUGCGUGAAUGAUAGUAAGGGAGAGGAAAAUAGAUAUUUGUUGGUAGUAAGAAAAAUCAAAUAAACAUCUGAGCAAGGGACGUGGAGGAGGGAGAACCUAGGAAAAUGAGAAGAUAUUUUGUAAUGCGGUACGGAUUAGUUUAGACACUGACGAAUUUAAUUCAUAGAGUUAAGAGAAAAAUAUAAAGGUGAUAUAUUAUUAUCUUAAAAAUUAUGAGGAACUUUAUGAAAUAAUAAGAUAUAAAUUAGGAUCACUUUGAGCAAAUUAAAAUGAUCCAUGAACCAAGAAAUGAGUCAAAACUGAACUAAAGAAUAAUUGUGAGACAAUUAGAAUAAAUAUGACGUUAUCAUAUUAUACAACUAAGCUAAGUAUCCCUUUAUAAAAGGUCAAUACUUGCUUCGGAGUUUCAUUUAAGUGAGAAAAUUGCUUGAACGCGAUCUGCUUCAAAAUAUGCCGCAGAACUACUUUUUGCAAAUGACGUCGAACGAAGAAACUUCCUUCUGGAAAGAGAUCCCAAACAUCAAAAGAAAUGAGGUUACGCGGAUGGAAACUUCGUUAGAAGCUCCGAAUAGAAAAUGCUUCAAAUCUGAACAGGUCUCUAUAAUUUUUCCCAAAGCUUCAGCUCAUUUUUAAAUCACCAUGCUUAUAGUUGAAUCUAAAUUUAUCAUCAUGCAUUCAUUUAGGCCAUAAAAUGCACUUACUUAAGAAACAAGUAGCACUUAGCAUGUUUGAAAUAACACAUAACAUAUUCCACAUUUCCAUUGCUUCUCACAUAAGACAUGGUACUUAAUUACUUAAAGGAAAAGUAACAUUUAGCAUGCUCAACCAUUCAUCCACAAAACUCUACCCAAAAUUUUCCCCGAAAUCACCCUAAACAUCAUGCAUCAUUACUAGAGUUUCAAGAAAAGGUUUUUCUCCCCCAAUACACAUGCUAGCUCUCGGCCAAAAAUGGAUAAUCCAAGAUUGAUGUUUUCUUUUACUACAAGCUAAUUCCUAGGCAUCAUGCAUCAUUAUUAAGGCAUAAGAAUUGAUUACCGCAUGCUUAUACUCUCCCCAAGGCGCUAGAAUAAAAGCCCCAAUUUGGAACCCUAAAAUUUCAAAGUUAUGAUUUUUCUGAAAUUGGUUUUACAUAGCUCAAAUUAAAGCAUAUAUAAACAACUAAUGCAAAGACCCUAAGCAUGAAUAUGACUCUAACAUAAUCAAAGUCCAAUUUUUUUGUAAAAGUUCAACUUUUCCACACAACAUUUAUAUUAAUAGAAAGCUACUCCUAGUUUAUAAAUAUACAUUUUGAUAGCCACUGCAAUUUUGAUACAAGUAUUCAACAGAUCAAAAGAAAAGCAAUCCGCAACAUGAAAACCCACAUCAUCAAUUUAUUUGUCUAACUACAUGUAUCCACUUAGCCUAAGACGAAUGAAUCAGGUCCAUAAGCCAUCAAGAAAACCAAAAAGCAAGCCUUAUCACAUCUCCAUGAUACAACAUAAACAGGGGAAAAACAAUUGAAUACCAGAAAUAUAAAUGUAAUGAAGGUGAAAUGAGGGACUAGGGAGUUCAUACAUGGUGAUCUUGGUGAAGAAGAAAUUGGAGCAUGGCAUGGUGUUGGUGGUGCUAUGGCUAGCGGUGGUGAUUCUUUGCUGGCCAUAUAAGGAGAAAACCAUGGUGAUGGUGAUGGUGUGAUCAGCGGCUGCAAGAGGGAGAGGAAAGCAUGAUGAUGUUGGUGAUUUGUGGUGCUGCAACGUGAAGAGAUCAAGGUUGUAUGGGUGCUGUCAUCAUGAAGAAGAAGGUGGUGAGGCAGCACGUAAAUGCAGAUGCAGAUGGCGAGUUUGGCNNNNNNNNNNNNNNNNNNNNNNNNNNNNNNNNNNNNNNNNNNNNNNNNNNNNNNNNNNNNNNNNNNNNNNNNNNNNNNNNNNNGUGGGUGUUUCUUUGCUGGCCAUAUAAGGAGAAAACCAUGGUGAUGGUGAUGGUGUGAUCAGCGGCUGCAAGAGGGAGAGGAAAGCAUGAUGAUGUUGGUGAUUUGUGGUGCUGCAACGUGAAGAGAUCAAGGUUGUAUGGGUGCUGUCAUCAUGAAGAAGAAGAAUGAGGCUGGUUCUCGCAUUGAUGGAGACACAAGGUGGUGGCGGUUGCUCACGUGAAGAAGGAGAAGCUCGUGGUUGCUUGCUCCAUUGAGAGAGGAGGUACGGUGGUGAUGAGAGGAAGGAUAAGUUGAAGAUGGUGAUGGGGUUCGGUUGCUGUAACAAGAAAGGAAGUGAAGGAGAGUUUAAGGGAAAAUUGGAGAAGUGUGGGUCGGUAGCUUGGGAGAAAUAAG
This 2778-nucleotide long non-coding RNA is filed under the name Lotus japonicus. Its description in RNAcentral is "long non-coding RNA (LJAP_LNC000724)". Lineage: Eukaryota; Viridiplantae; Streptophyta; Magnoliopsida; Fabales; Fabaceae. The record is from RNAcentral.